GGAUUCCCCUAGUAACUGCGAGUGAAGCGGGAAAAGCUCAAAUUUAAAAUCUGGCGGUUUCACCGUCCGAGUUGUAAUCUGGAGAAGUGUUUUCCGCGUCGGACCGUGUACAAGUCUCUUGGAACAGAGCGUCAUAGAGGGUGAGAAUCCCGUCUUUGACACGGACUGCCGAUGCUUUGUGAUACGCUCUCAAAGAGUCGAGUUGUUUGGGAAUGCAGCUCAAAAUGGGUGGUAAAUUCCAUCUAAAGCUAAAUAUUGGCGAGAGACCGAUAGCGAACAAGUACCGUGAGGGAAAGAUGAAAAGCACUUUGGAAAGAGAGUUAAACAGUACGUGAAAUUGUUGAAAGGGAAACGCUUGAAGUCAGUCGCGUUGUCCGGGACUCAGCCUUGCUUCUGCUUGGUGUACUUCCUGGUUGACGGGCCAACAUCGAUUUUGGUCGGCAGAUAAAGGUGGAGGGAAUGUGGCACCUUCGGGUGUGUUAUAGCCCUCUGUCGGAUGUGUCGACUGGGAUCGAGGAUCGCAGCACGCCUUUUUGGCCGGGGUUCGCCCACGUACCGUGCUUAGGAUGUUGGCAUAAUGGCUUUAAGCGACCCGUCUUGAAACACGGACCAAGGAGUCUAACAUGCCCGCGAGUGUUAGGGUGGAAAACCCUUGCGCGUAAUGAAAGUGAAAGUUGGGACCUCUGUCGUGGAGGGCACCGACGCCCGGCCUUGAACUUCUGUGACGGCGCCGCGGUAGAGCGUGUAUGUUGGGACCCGAAAGAUGGUGAACUAUGCCUGAAUAGGGCGAAGCCAGAGGAAACUCUGGUGGAGGCUCGUAGCGAUUCUGACGUGCAAAUCGAUCGUCAAAUUUGGGUAUAGGGGCGAAAGACUAAU
This 876-nucleotide ribosomal RNA is filed under the name Muscinupta laevis. RNAcentral describes it as "LSU rRNA". It matches the Rfam family "Eukaryotic large subunit ribosomal RNA", at positions 72 to 935 of the family's 3401-position model. The record is from RNAcentral. Lineage: Eukaryota; Fungi; Basidiomycota; Agaricomycetes; Hymenochaetales.